CGAUUUCACGUUAUAUUUAUACUGCUGUUAAAGGAUCGGAAAAAAGUCCUAUAAAAGAUGCAGAAAAGGGUAAACACUAAAAUGAAAAAUUGCAUAUUAACGACAAAAUAAAAAACAUACCUUUGUUUUAAACUAUCAGGCUUUGGUUCCACCUGGGAUUUAUAUAAAGGCUAUAACAAAUGAGUAGUGUGAGCAUGUUGAUAGUAAGAGUUUCCUCCUCAUAUUCAUGAUUAUAUGUUUACGCAGUUGUCCCCCAUCAUUAUCAUUCUUUUAUUACUUCCCUUAGUAAGGGGUAUAAAAAAAAUUUCGGGGCGGGGGGGGGGGGGGAUGCACUUGAUUAUUCGACAAUCAUGUGGCAUGCUUAAAAUAAAUCUGCCAAUCCCCCGUCAUGCUUAGACCCUAAUGAGACCCGCUUUAUAUUCAUAACCAUAUGAUUAAACAGUCAGGCUGUGAUGAUCGUCUGAUUAUCGCCCUUAUAGUAUUCAUUACCAUAUGAUUAAACAGUUAGUCUGUGAUGAUUGUCUGAAUAUUGCCGAGAUGAUUGUCUGAUCAUUGCCCUUGUUUAUCAUGAUCAUAUAUAUGACUAAACAGUUAGGCCAUGAUGAUUGUCUGAUUACUGCCCUUGUUUAUCAUGAUCAUAUAUAUGACUAAACAGUUAGGCCGUGAUGAUUGUCUGAUUAUUGCCUUUGUUUAUCAUGAUCAUAUAUAUGACUAAACAGUUAGGCCGUAAUGAUUGUCUGAUUAUUGCCCUUGUUUAUCAUGAUCAUAUAUAUGACUAAACAGUUAGGCCGUGAUGAUUGUCUGAUUAUUGCCAUUUUUUAUCAUGAUCAUAUAUAUGACUAAACAGUUAGGCCGUGAUGAUUGUCUGAUUAUUGCCCUUGUUUAUCAUGAUCAUAUAUAUGACUAAACAGUUAGGCCGUGAUGAUUGUCUAAUAAUUGCACUUGUUUAUCAUGAUGAUAUAUAUGAUUAAACAGUUAGGAUAUGAUGAUUGUUUGAUUAUUGCCUUUAAUAUUCAUUACCAUAUGAUUAAACAGUUAGGCUGUGAUGAUUGUCUGGAUAUUACCUUGAUAAUCAUAAUCGUAUGAUUAAACAGUUAGGCCAUGAUGAUCGCCUGAUUAUUGCACUUCAUAAUCAUGAUCAUAUGAUUAAACAGUUUGGCAAGUACAUGUAUGAUUGUUUGAUUAUUGCCCAUAAUAUUCAUGAUUAUCUGAUUACACAGUUUGACCGUGAUGAUCAUUUGAUUAUUUUCCUUACUAUUCAUGAUUAUCUAAUGUAAGGUUUGUUGCCCUUGAUAUUCACUAAGAACCAUAGAAAAAUACGUAUAUACCGUAUACUAUACUUAAACACAAUAGACAACAAAAUAAGCUUAUAUCCAAGAAUAAUAGACAAUAUAAAAAACCUAUUUCUAGCAACAAUAAACUAUACAUAUAGACUUAAACUAAAAACCAUAGACAAAACAUAUCAUGCAUAUAUCCCUUAUCUAAGAUCAAUAGAUAAUACAUAUAAACUUAACUUAAAAACCAUAGAAAAAACUUAUAGUGCAUAUAUCCUGUAUCUAAGAACCAUAGACAAUACAUUAAAACCUAACCUAAGAACCAGAACCAUAGACAAUACACAUAAAUUAACCUAUGAACCAUAGACUAUACAUAUAGACUCUACCAAAGAACUACAGACAAUACAUAUAGACUUAAGAGGGCCCUCAUGGGGUUUUUGAUUAUGUGAUUACUUGGCCGUGUUUUUAAUGAUUAUUUGAUUAUUAAGCCAAAUAUUUCAUGAUUAUUUGAUUACCUAGGACUGUAUUUUUAGUUUAUGAUUAUUUGAUUACUAAAGAUAAGCAAAUAUUUAAUGAUUAUGUGAUUAUAUUGGCAAAAAAAUGGUUAUUAUGUGAUUACUAGGACCCCCCCAUGAGGGGCCUCACUUAACCUAAGAACCACAGACAAUACUGAAACAACAGAACCAAGAAACCACAAGACAAUAUAGACUUAAGACCUAAGAACCACAGACAAUACAUAUAUACUGAACCUAAGAAACACAGACAAUACAUAUAGACUGAACCUAAGAACCACAGACAAUACAUAUAGACUGAACCUAAGAACCACAGACAACACAUAUAGACAGACCACAGACAUAUAGACUGAACCUAAGAACCACAGACAAUACAUAUAGACUGAACCUAAGAACCACAGACAAUACAUAUAGACUGAACCUAAGAACCACAGACAAUACAUAUAGACUUAACCUAAGAACCUAAAUACUAAACUAAGAACCACAGACAACAUACAUACAGACUGAACCUAAGAACCAUAAACAAUACUCUUAGACUAAACCUAAGAACCAUAGACAAUACACAUAAAUUAAACCUAAGAACCAUAGACUCUACAUAUAGACUCUACCUAAGAACCACAGUCAAUACAUACAGACUGAACCUAAGAACCACAGACAAUACAUAUAGACUAAACCUAAGGACCAUAGACAAUACACAUAAAUUAAACCUAAGAACCAUAGACUACACAUAUAGAUUCUUCCUUGGAACCACAGACAAUACAUAAAGACUGAACUUAAGAACCACAGACAAUACAUAUAGAUUCUUCUUAAGAACCACAGACAAUACAUAUAGACUAAACCUAAGAACCAUAGACAAUACAUAUAGACUAAACAUAAGAAUCAUAGACAAUACACAUAAAUUAAACCUAAGAACCUUAGACUAUACAUAUAGACUCUUCCUUAGAACCACAGACAAUACAUAUUGACUGAACCUAAGAACCACAGACAAUACAUAUAGAUUCUUCUUAAGAACCACAGACAAUACAUAUAGACUAAACCUAAGAACCAUAGACAAUACAUAUAGACUAAACAUAAGAAUCAUACACAAUACACAUAAAUUAAACCUAAGAACCAUAGACUAUACAUAUAGACUCUUCCUUAGAACCACAGACAAAACAUAUAGACUGAACCUAAGAACCACAGACAAUACAUAUAGACUAAACCUAAGAACCACAGACAAUACAUAUAGACUAAACCUAAGAACCACAGACAAUAACAUAUAGACUUAACCUAAGAAAUCAUAGACAAUACACAUAAAUUAAACCUAAGAACCAUAGACUAUACAUAUAGACUCUUCCUUAGAACCACAGACAAUACAUAUAGACUGAACCUAAGAACCACAGAUUAUACAUGUAGAUUUUUCUUAAGAACCACAGACAAUACAUAUAGACUAAACCUAAGAACCACAGACAAUACAUAUAGACUUAACCUAAGAAUCAUAGACAAUACACAUAAAUUAAACCUAAGAACCAUAGACUAUACAUAUAGACUGAACCUAAGAACCACAGAUUAUACAUGUAGAUUCUUCUUAAGAACCACAGACAAUACAUAUAGACUAAACCUAAGAACCAUAGACAAUGCAUAUAGACUAAACCUAAAAACAAUAGACAAUACUCUUAGACUAAACCUAAGAACCAUAGACAAUACACAUAAAUUAAACCUAAGAACCACAGACAAUACAUGUAGACUGAACCAAAGAACCACAGACAAUACAUAUUAACUAAACCUAACAACCACAGACAAUACAUAUAGACUGAACCUUUGAACCUAAGAACCACAUAAGUAUAUACUUAACCUAAGAACCACAGACAAUACAUAUAGACUAAACCUAAGAACCAUAGACAAUACAUAUAGACUUUUCCUUAGAACCACAGACAAUACAUAUAAACUCUUCCUAAGAACCACAGACAAUACACAUAAAUUAAACCUUAGAACCAAAGACUAUACAUAUAGACUCUUCCUUAGAACCACAUACAAUACAUAUAGACUGAACCUUAGAACCACAGACAAUACAUAUAGACUCUUCCUAAGAACCACAGACAAUAUAUAUGGACUGAACCUUAGAACCACAGACUAUUCAUAUAGACUCUACCUAAGAACCAUAGACAAUACAAGUAAAUCACAUAUUUAAACUUUUUAAGUAAUUAUGUAUGAAAACUUUUGUUGAACCACAAAGUUUAAUAUCCAUGUAAAUAUAAUGUUUCCAUUACCAAUAAUAUUUGUUACAUUGAUUUCAAUUAUUUUUCUGCCUUCAGAUUUCAAAGAGACUUGGUUCAUUAAUUCUCAGCUAACAGAUUCACAUUUUAAAGGAUUUGGACACACUCUGUAAGGUCACAUCAGAUGUAUUAGAUACUGGUAUGUAUAAAGACAAAAUCAAUAUUGUUUUAUGUUUGGACUUGGUAAGUGUUCCAUGCUUUAAUUUAUACCCCCAUCAUUUAAGGUUAAAAUUUUCCUUUUUCUCUACAAACCCAAAUGUUUUUGGACAAGAAACAUAGGUAAAGAAAUUAAAAGAUGUGCAGUGAUUGCCACUACAGACAAUACAUAUACACUGAUCCUAAGAACCACAAACAAUACAUAUAGACUAAACCUAAGAACCACAGACAAUACAUAUAGACUAAACCUAAGAACCAUAGACAAUUCACAUAAAUUAAACCUAAGAACCAUAGACUAUACAUAUAGACUCUACCUAAGAACCACAGACAAUACAUAUAGACUGAACCGAAGAACCACAGACAAUACAUAUAAACUAAACCUAAGAACCACAGACAAUACAUAUAGAUACUGAACCUAAGAACCACAGACAAUACAUAUAGACUAAACCUAAGAACCAUAGACAAUACAUAUAGACUCUUCCUUAGAACCACAGACAAUACAUAUAGACUGAACCUAAGAACCACAGACAAUACAUAUAGACUCUUCCUAAGAACCACAGACAAUACAUAUGGACUGAACCUUAGAACCACAGACAAUACAUAUAGACUAAACCUAAGAACCAUAGACAAUACAUGUAGCCUAUACAUAAGAACCACAGACAAUACAUAUAGACUAUAUCUAAGAACCAUAGACAAUACAUACAGACUGAACCUAAGAACCAUAGACUAUCCAUAUAGACUCUACCUAAGAAACAUAGACAAUACAUGUAAAUCACAUAUUUAAACUUUUUAAGUAAUUAUGUAUGAAAACUUUUGUUGAACCACAAAAUUUAAUAUCCAUGUAAAUAUAAUGUUUCCAUUACCAAUAAUAUUUGUUACAUUGAUUUCAAUUAUUUUUCUGUCUUCAGAUUUCCAAGAGACUUGGUUCAUUAAUUCUCAGCUAACAAAUUCACAUUUUAAAGGAUUUGGACACACUCUGUAAGGUCACAUCAGAUGUAUUAGACACUGGUAUGUAUAAAGACAAAAUCAAUAUUGUUUUAUGUUUGGACUUGGUAAGUGUUCCAUGCUUUAAUUUAUACCCCCAUCAUUUAAGGUUAAAAUUUUCCUUUUUCUCUACAAACCCAAAUGUUUUUGGACAAGAAACAUAGGUAAAGAAAUUAAAAGAUGUGGAGUGAUUGCCACUACAGACAAUACAUAUACACUGAACCUAAGAACCACAGACAAUAUAUAUAGACUAAACCUAAGAACCACAGACACUACAUAUAGACUAAACCUAAGAACAAUAGACAAUACUCUUAGACUAAACCUAAGAACCAUAGACAACGCACAUAAACUAAACCUAAGAACCAUAGACUAUACAUAUAGACUCUACCUAAGAACCACAGACAAUACAUAUAGACUGAACCGAAGAAACAGACAAUACAUAUAAACUAAACCUAAGAACCACAGACAAUACAUAUAGAUACUGAACCUAAGAACCACAGACAAUACAUGUAAAUCACAUAUUUAAACUUUUUAAGUAAUUAUGUAUGAAAACUUUUGUUGAACCACAAAGUUUAAUAUCCAUGUAAAUAUAAUGUUUCCAUUGCCAAUAGUAUUUGUUACAUUGAUUUCAAUUAUUUUUCUGUCUUCAGAUUUCCAAGAGACUUUGUCAUUAAUUCUCAGCUAACAAUUCACAUUUUAAAGAUUUGGACACACUCUGUAAGGUCACAUCAGAUGUAUUAGAUACUGGUAUGUAUAAAGACAAAAUCAAUAUUGUUUUAUGUUUGGACUUGGUAAGUGUUCCAUGCUUUAAUUUAUACCCCCAUCAUUUAAGGUUAAAAUUUUCCUUUUUCUCUACAAACCCAAAUGUUUUUGGACAAGAAACAUAGGUAUAGAAAUUAAAAGAUGAGGAAUGAUUGCCACCAAAGACAAUACAUAUAGACUGAACCUAAGAACCAUAGACUUUACCUAAGAACCAUAGACAUUACCUAUAGACUUUACCUAAGAACCAUAGACAAUACUUAAUAAAGCCUAUAUCUAAGAACCACAGACAAGACAUAUAGCCUAUAUCUAAGAAUUAUAGACAAUACAUAUAGUCUAUAUCUAAGAACCAUAGACAUUACAUACAGACUGAACAUAAGAACCAAAGACAAUACAUAAAGACUUUAUCUAAGAACCAUAGACAAAACAUAGACUUUUCCUUAAAACCAUAGACAAAACAUACAGAAUCUUCCUAAGAACUAUAGACAUUAUUUAUAUCCUUUAUCUUAGAACCAUAGACAAUACAUAUAGACUACAUAAUAACCAAAGACAAUACACAUAGACUGAACCUAAGAACCAUAGACAAUACACAAAGACUGAACUUAAGAAUAAUAGACAAUUCAUGUAGACUUUUCUAAGAACCAUAGACAAUACGUAUAGCCUUUAUAUCUAAGAACCAUAGACAAUACAUAUAGCCUAUAUCUAAGAACUAUAGACAAUACAUAUAGCCUAUAUCUAAGAACCUUAUAAGGCUCGUGUGAAAACUUUUGUAAAACCACAAAAUCAAAUAUCCAUGUCAAUACAAUUUUUACCAUUUCCUAUAAUAUUUGUUAUAUUGAAUUCAAUUAUUUUUCUGUCUUUAGAUUUCCAGAUGACUUGUUGCAUUCAUUCUCAGUUAACAAAUUCACCAUGUUCACAGUGUAAAGGAUUUGGACACACUCUGUAAGGUCACACGAGAUGUUUUAGAUACCGGUAUGUAUAUAGACAAUAUCAAUGCAUGUGUUCCAUGUGUUAAUUUAGACUACCAUAGGUUAAAAUUAAAAGUUUCCUUUUUCUCUAUAAACCCAUAGGUUGUUGCACCAGAAACAAAGAUAUCAUAAUAUAAAAAGAUUUGGUAUGAUUGCCACCAGAGACUAAGUGACAUUAAAGGUAAGGAACUUAAGGUCACUGUUCAGCAUUCAACAAUGAACAAAACCUUAAAUAACAAAUGAAAAUAUUCAGCUGAUAAAUUGCUAAAAUCAUCAGAUCAAUACAAACAUGAUAAUUAAAUCACCAAAACAAAUGGAGCCAAUUUAUCAGCAAAAUAGAUUUUUCUGAUCAUGUUUGUUGUGACCAAUGAAAUAUGAUUCAAAUAUAUUGCUUGAAAAUUAAAUCUGCAAGGCCCUGCUAUUUAUGUUUCCUAGGCUUAUAAUAGGGGUUGAAAUCCUGACCAUUUGUCCACUUUAACAUCAACCUCCAUUAUACAUAACUGAAGUUUCUUAGGCAUAGUUCUGUAUUCCAAGAUCAACAAAAAGUGUAAUGAUUUAAUACUUACACAUGUAAUCAUCAAUUUGAAACACUUUCAGCUUUUAACAAUGGUCAUAAAAGACAUUUCUUAACCUUCUCUUUAAUAUAUUUCCAACAUGAGAAAAUAUAUCCAUUAUAAAAUAUGUGGCAAGGAAACCUAUAGUGAUUUAUACAAGAAUGUCAUUCUAUACAAAAAUGUCAUUCUAUACAAGAAUGUCAUUCUAUACAAGAAUGUCAUUCUAUACAAGAAUGUCAUUCUAUACAAGAAUGUCAUUCUAUACAAGAAUGUCUUUCUAUACAAGAAUGUAAUGUUGAUCUUAUUGAUAAUCUAAUGGAACUUUUUCAUAGGGUCAUCUCCUAUGGGUCAAGGUAUUUAUACAUUUAUCUGUUCUAUUACUAAUUGAAAAAAUACAAUAGUUAUAAGCCUCUUUAUACUAUCACUGGGACCUUUAGAUAUAUUCAAAGAGAAAUCUAUCACUCAAUGAUUAAUAUACAUGAAUAAAAAAACGGUCUGCUAAAUGGAUGAAAAGAUAUGUAUCAACUCACAAAACCUCUUGCUUGUCAAUAAUUUAAAUUCUGCAAGAUCAUGCAUGAACAAAAGAAUCAUAUUUUGGCCAGAAACUAUGUGACAGAAUGUGGUCAACUGCUAUACAGUAGUAAUGAGUUGUAGAGAAUUUGCUUUUUUAAGAACUGUCAUGACUCAUGCACCAAAUUCAUAUUCUAUACUUUCUUUUCAAAAUGCAAUGUGUUCUGUCUGACAUCUUUGAAAGUGCAUAGUUUAAGUACUACAAGAAUUAACGAGAGCUUACGAAUUCUAACAUAAUGAUUUUAUAUUUCAGGUUGGUUCACAUCUACUAUGCAAAAGUUCAC
This 8316-nucleotide long non-coding RNA is filed under the name Mytilus galloprovincialis (Mediterranean mussel). Lineage: Eukaryota; Metazoa; Mollusca; Bivalvia; Mytilida; Mytilidae. The record is from RNAcentral.